Homo sapiens (human) is the source of this 1399-nucleotide long non-coding RNA. RefSeq lists it as uncharacterized. NCBI's taxonomy places the organism in Eukaryota, Metazoa, Chordata, Mammalia, Primates, Hominidae. The transcript is spliced from 2 exons. The record is from RefSeq and is a predicted model, not a curated record.
CUCCAGGUCAGCUUGGACGGCGGCCGUGACGCUGUUAGAACGUUUAAAACGUCCGUGUCUGCAAAAGGAGGGAAGGAAGACAGAUGGUAGCCCUUCUGAGAGGACUUCAUGCAACAAAGUCCUACAUGUCGCCUGUCAGGAGCGCACCUGAGCUCAACAGCCUGGCGGCUCAAGGGCAGGUAAUAUUUUUGAAGUGAAACAAUUUCACGGUGUAUGAAGGCCUUGAACGUGCUUUGCUGUCUUUCUAUCGUUUUACGUGUAACAUGACAAGGCGUAAGGCCUGCAUUGGCGUCACCCUCAGCCCGUCCUUCUUUCCUUUGGAUCAAGGACUCUGACUUUCAGGCCGUCAGCUGCUCUGCUUUCAGAGGUGAUAAAUUACUUUGGAAAGAAUUACUCCCUUGCCUCUUGCAAAAACAAGACAUAGGCGGGUGUUAAUUCAUACUUGAGGGUUAUCAAUGGAAAAGUAUAAACGUAUGGCCCUGUUUCCACAAGGACAGGCAUGAUUGAGGGCCGGCAGGAUCUAGGAGCUUCCAUCAGGCCUUUGACAAAGAGCCCUCGCUCGGGGGUCACCGCGUGUCAGGAGGGGCUGAGUUACCGCUUCUCAUCUUCCACUUGCACCCCGACAGAGUGGUAUUCCCGCAGACCGCGGCUCUCCGUGUCAGAAUCUGUGGCCGUUUCCACCUAAUUCAACAGAGAACGUCUUAUUUUAGAACUGAAACAUGGGGCCUGGGCAAGGGACUAUUUUGUUGUUGUUGUGGAUUUGCUGUAAUUAAUUACGCAUUUGUUUAAUUAAUGCAGCGGUGCACUUGACCCAGUAAAACCGCAGAGAGGGAAAUGCAUUCACACUGGAGUAAUUACAUCACUCCUGCGUCUCAUCACAUUUUACAUAACUACCUGAACUCAAGGCUGCAGUUUGGUCUUCUAAAUGUAUGCAAAUAAAACUGCUUAGUUCAGCUCAGGCAAAAAAUAGGUGUUGUUGAACUGCAUUAUAACAGGACUUAAAAGCUCUUAUCACGCCCUAUGGUGAAGAAAGUACAGCAUGAACCAAACACAGCUAAUGACAACAAAUAAGCGAUUUAAAAGACUUAUACUGAUGGCUGCAUCCACGUACAGAAAGACACAGAAAGGAAUUUCAGCACUGAUCAGAAACAGAGGCAAACUCUCCACCUUCAUCUCCAUAGAGCUGUCUCACGUCUGCUAAGAGGAUGGCCAGCAGGGUGACGUCAGAUCAGAACAGAAAUCAUGUAUUCCACAGAGAAUUCUGAUUGUGGCUGUAUUUGCCAAAAAGUCCCCACAAACCCAACAAGCCUUGCAAUGAUCAUCAGCUAUGUGAAGUUAUCCCACAAGGGAAUUCUAGUACAGUACGUUCUCUAAAAAAAAAAAAACAAAACCAAACCAA